This 223-nucleotide unclassified non-coding RNA is filed under the name Hevea brasiliensis (rubber tree). The record is from RNAcentral. Lineage: Eukaryota; Viridiplantae; Streptophyta; Magnoliopsida; Malpighiales; Euphorbiaceae.
ACGACUCUUUCAGUGCCCAACAAUACCCAUCAUCUAUGAUGGGGGAAAAUUAAAUAAAUGAAUGCUCAAAGUAUAAUCCAAAUUGCUAUUUUUUAAAUACAUCAUUAGUUCAUAGAAGAAAAAGAAAGGAUGACAACCCACAUAAAUACAGUUAACAAAGGAAGCUGAAUAAGUAAAUUAACUAGUGAAUGGGAAGAAGCUGCUGCCCCAUAGAUCCAUCAAG